CUGCUGCCUCCCGUAGGAGUCUGGGCCGUGUCUCAGUCCCAGUGUGGGGGGCCUUCCUCUCAGAACCCCUACGCAUCGUCGCCACGGUGGGCCGUCACCCCGCCGUCUAGCUAAUGCGCCGCAUGCCCAUCCGCCACCGGAUCGCUCCUUUGGCCACCGGAGGAUGCCCUCCGGUGGCGUCACGGGGUAUUAGGCCGCGUUUCCGCGGGUUAUCCCCCUGUGGCGGCCAGGUUGCAUACGUGUUACUCACCGUGCGCCGGUCGCCGGCGGG
This 271-nucleotide ribosomal RNA is filed under the name uncultured bacterium. Its description in RNAcentral is "partial 16S ribosomal RNA". The record is from RNAcentral.